UGAGGAAUAUUGGUCAAUGGACGGAAGUCUGAACCAGCCAAGUAGCGUGCAGGAUGACGGCCCUAUGGGUUGUAAACUGCUUUUGUAUGGGGAUAAAGUUAGGGACGUGUCCCUAUUUGCAGGUACCAUACGAAUAAGGACCGGCUAAUUCCGUACCAGCAGCCGCGGUAAUACGGAAGGUCCAGGCGUUAUCCGGAUUUAUUGGGUUUAAAGGGAGCGUAGGCUGGAGAUUAAGUGUGUUGUGAAAUGUAGACGCUCAACGUCUGAAUUGCAGCGCAUACUGGUUUCCUUGAGUACGCACAACGUUGGCGGAAUUCGUCGUGUAGCGGUGAAAUGCUUAGAUAUGACGAAGAACUCCGAUUGCGAAGGCAGCUGACGGGAGCGCAACUGACGCUUAAGCUCGAAGGUGCGGGUAUCAAACAGG
This 424-nucleotide ribosomal RNA is filed under the name Verrucomicrobiota bacterium. RNAcentral describes it as "Verrucomicrobia bacterium partial 16S ribosomal RNA". It matches the Rfam family "Bacterial small subunit ribosomal RNA", at positions 355 to 776 of the family's 1533-position model. Lineage: Bacteria; Pseudomonadati; Verrucomicrobiota. The record is from RNAcentral.